GACGAACGCUGGCGGCGUGCUUAACACAUGCAAGUCGAACGGAAAGGCCCUGCUUUUGUGGGGUGCUCGAGUGGCGAACGGGUGAGUAACACGCGAGUAACCUGCCCUUGACUUUGGGAUAACUUCAGGAAACUGGGGCUAAUACCGGAUAGGAGCUCCUGCUGCAUGGUGGGGGUUGGAAAGUUUCGGCGGUUGGAGAUGGACUCGCGGCUUAUCAGCUUGUUGGUGGGGUAGUGGCUUACCAAGGCUUUGACGGGUAGCCGGCCUGAGAGGGUGACCGGCCACAUUGGGACUGAGAUACGGCCCAGACUCCUACGGGAGGCAGCAGUGGGGAAUAUUGCACAAUGGGCGGAAGCCUGAUGCAGCAACGCCGCGUGCGGGAUGACGGCCUUCGGGUUGUAAACCGCUUUCGCCUGUGACGAAGCGUGAGUGACGGUAAUGGGUAAAGAAGCACCGGCUAACUACGUG
This 468-nucleotide ribosomal RNA is filed under the name uncultured bacterium. RNAcentral describes it as "partial 16S ribosomal RNA". It matches the Rfam family "Bacterial small subunit ribosomal RNA", at positions 28 to 507 of the family's 1533-position model. The record is from RNAcentral.